RNAcentral lists this ribosomal RNA (467 nucleotides) under uncultured bacterium. RNAcentral's name for it is "partial 16S ribosomal RNA". It matches the Rfam family "Bacterial small subunit ribosomal RNA", at positions 28 to 507 of the family's 1533-position model. The record is from RNAcentral.
GAUGAACGCUGGCGGCGUGCUUAACACAUGCAAGUCGAACGGAAAGGCCCAAGCUUGCUUGGGUACUCGAGUGGCGAACGGGUGAGUAACACGUGGGUGAUCUGCCCUGCACUUCGGGAUAAGCCUGGGAAACUGGGUCUAAUACCGGAUAGGACCACUUCUUGGAUGUUGUGGUGGAAAGUUUUUUCGGUGUGGGAUGAGCUCGCGGCCUAUCAGCUUGUUGGUGGGGUAAUGGCCUACCAAGGCGUCGACGGGUAGCCGGCCUGAGAGGGUGUACGGCCACAGUGGGACUGAGAUACGGCCCAGACUCCUACGGGAGGCAGCAGGGGGGAACAUUGCACAAUGGGCGCAAGCCUGAUGCAGCGACGCCGCGUGGGGGAUGACGGCCUUCGGGUUGUAAACUCCUUUCGCUAGGGACGAAGCGUUUUGUGACGGUACCUGGAGAAGAAGCACCGGCUAACUACGUG